GUCCACGCCGUAAACGAUGAGUGCUAGGUGCUGCGGGUAUUGACCCCUGCGGUGCCGUAGCUAACGCGUUAAGCACUCCGCCUGGGGAGUACGGCCGCAAGGCUAAAACUCAAAGGAAUUGACGGGGGCCCGCACAAGCGGUGGAGCAUGUGGUUCAAUUCGACGCAACGCGCAGAACCUUACCUGGGUUAAAUCCACUCGAACCUUGCAGAGAUGUGGGGGUGCUCUUCGGAGAGCGAGUGAGAAGGUGCUGCAUGGCUGUCGU
Molecule: ribosomal RNA, 265 nt
Filed under: uncultured bacterium
Lineage: Bacteria
Description: partial 16S ribosomal RNA
Rfam family: Bacterial small subunit ribosomal RNA
Source: RNAcentral